Molecule: long non-coding RNA, 353 nt
Filed under: Bos taurus (domestic cattle)
Lineage: Eukaryota; Metazoa; Chordata; Mammalia; Artiodactyla; Bovidae
Description: long non-coding RNA NONBTAT008210
Source: RNAcentral
AUUUCAUAGUUAUAUACUGAUAAAUUCCUUAAAUAAUGGCUUUUAAUGAUUGACAUGUACUAAAACCCGUCAGUGUAAGCUGUCCUAGAGGAGUAAGAGUGAGUUUUAUUGGACUUCAGGGGUUAUAAAAUGAAGAAGUAAGAUGUUUAGCUCAUAAUCAUUGGGCAUUAAGAAAAAGUACUGAGCCCUAUUUGUGCUAAGAUAGUUUAAUAAAAGUUUUUUCAUUUAAUGGUGUAUUGUACUUGUGUUCACAUUUGAAGCCAAGCAAAGGGUGGCUUUUUUUCUGUUAAGUAUGUUUCCUUUGUUUACUAGAUAAUUUUAUAUUAGAAUAUUAAAUGUAAGAAAUUAAGUUU